AAAAAAUUAGGGUUAGGAUUUUAGGAUAUAAGAGACCUCUAUUAGAUAUUAAAAUAGAGGGAAACUGAAGCGCGAACGGUACUACCAAUUGUCAUUCGACGCGUAGACAUAUUAGGGAAAUGAAUCACUAGACUCUGUGUGCCUUAUCAACAUCGGUUUCGUGCGAAGAAUACCGGCUGACUCCUUUUUACAGUUCGUUUGAUUAUCUUCCGAUCGUGAAUCUAUUAUCGUUGGAAUACAAUGCCAGUGUACUAGACACACCGCGUUAACGGACAAUGUCGGAAUACGUUUUCUUGGAUGAUGUUCAUAGAAAAAUUUGCGCGAGCCAAUCAUUUCAACGAAGUGAGCCUACAUCGCGUCGGUUUUUUAGACUGUGGCGUUCCUUGACAUUUUAUCACGUAACUAAGGUUGAUUGGAAGAGUCGAUUCCAUAUCUAUUUAUAAAAACAUAAGUAUAAUAUCAUUGAUGACGCUAUAAUUAUUCUUAGCUAGAAUUAAAUAUUAAUUAAGCAACAGCUAUGUUAAAUUUUGAAAUUAGAGGCAUAAUGUUUGCUUUAAUUUAAAAUCACGUUUAAUUUUGUUUUAAAUUGAUAUGUGUGUGUAUUGUAGUGUGUGAACAGUACUGCCCUCCAGAGCUUAAUUCUAUUAACUAACAUUUCGAACAGUCGAAGAAAAUGAGUUCAUUGGAUAAAAGAUUUAUUUUUUCAACGAAUCGAUACAAGGAAAGGAACGAUUAAACAGAAUUAAUUUUACAAGAUUCUUUGGUUUAAUUUCAAUAUCAAGUGCAUUCAAAUAUAGUGGAGAUCUAUUGGAACACCUGAAGUUGUUUCCAAGAUCGUUGUUCCAUGCUUUGGAGUCGCGGAAUAAUCCGCUACUGUUCGAGUCCCGUUGUUACCAGACUAUCGGAACCUCACUCUCCAUUGUCUUGGAUAAGGCUUCUAAAAAAAUUCGCAUUGACGUCUUCAUCGAAACUACCUUGAACUUCACUAACUUAAAUCUUUACAUACUAUCACAUUAAUAGAACGGUGUGUCCUGCACAAAAUUCAAUUUCCUUAUUAAUCAUAAUUUUCAUGAAUACCGUUUUCACGUAAGAGAAUUUUAUAUACGCAUUGAUAAUCUUGCCUUGAGGCGUCAUCAUCAUCAUCGGAGAGAAUAAAGUAGAAGAAACGGAAUUGACUUGUCAUUUCUUGUGUAAUAAAUCACGAGCUCUAGGAUGCUCAUUUUGGCGGAAUCUCCUGGUAGCGGACCACCGUCGCUUCAUUUUUAUCACAAUCUGUUUGAGCUAUAUAAAUAUUUAUAAUCCAUAGACGUAAAUAUAUUACUUGCUUCCUAGCAUUAACAAGCAUACAUUUAUAUUUUGUAGCUAUGUAGAAGCAAGUGAACAAAAUAUGGUUUUUUUCGGUUUACUUAUGCUUUUUUAAAUUUGUUUAUUGUUUUUCUUCCAUUUAUUGUUGCAUUUCUUCCAUAUACAUUAACCUGUUUAGAUAUAUAUGAUAGUAUAUCAUGGAUAUUUGGAAUUGUGAAGAUUUUUUUCAUUAUAAUAUUCAAUCAUCGGAUUAAAGAAGGAUUAAGGAUAUUCCAUUACAAAAUUCUUUCUUAUGGAUUUGUAUCAUUUUUUUUCAAUGAAGAAUUUAAUCUAAAAAGAUGGAAGAUUUUAAUAAUUGGAGAAGGAUAAUAUUAAAUAAAAGUAAAAAAAAAUAUAUAUAUAAUUUUAAUGAAAUUGUAUAAAUAUUGAAUAGAGAUUUAAUUAUUUAAAAAUUAUAAACAA
Molecule: long non-coding RNA, 1767 nt
Organism: Apis cerana (Asiatic honeybee)
Lineage: Eukaryota; Metazoa; Arthropoda; Insecta; Hymenoptera; Apidae
Source: RefSeq, a predicted model, not a curated record